GAGGCUGUCAGUGGGCAGUGAUCCCUUCCACUUCCUGUGCGAGAGGCUGUUAGUGAGCAGUGAUCCCUUCCACUUCCUGUGUGAGAGGCUGUUAGUGAGCAGUGAUCCCUUUCACUUCCUGUGUGGGAGGCUGUUAGUGAGCAGUGAUCCCUUUCACUUCCUGUGUGAGAGGCUGUUAGUGGGCAGUGAUCCCUUCCAUUUUCUAUGUGAGAGGCUGUUAGUGG
Non-coding RNA from Pelobates cultripes (western spadefoot toad), 224 nucleotides. Lineage: Eukaryota; Metazoa; Chordata; Amphibia; Anura; Pelobatidae. The record is from the annotation of a GenBank genome assembly.